RNAcentral lists this ribosomal RNA (498 nucleotides) under uncultured bacterium. RNAcentral's name for it is "partial 16S ribosomal RNA". It matches the Rfam family "Bacterial small subunit ribosomal RNA", at positions 30 to 523 of the family's 1533-position model. The record is from RNAcentral.
AUUGAACGCUGGCGGCAGGCCUAACACAUGCAAGUCGAGCGGUUGAGGUAGCUUGCUACCGAUGCAGCGGCGGACGGGUGAGUAAUACAUGGGAAUCUGCCUGGUAGUGGGGGACAACGUUUCGAAAGGAACGCUAAUACCGCAUACGCCCUACGGGGGAAAGGGGGGGAUCGCAAGACCUCUCGCUAUCAGAUGAGCCCAUGUCGGAUUAGCUUGUUGGUGAGGUAAAGGCUCACCAAGGCGACGAUCCGUAACUGGUCUGAGAGGAUGAUAAGUCACACUGGAACUGAGACACGGUCCAGACUCCUACGGGAGGCAGCAGUGGGAAAUAUUGGACAAUGGGCGCAAGCCUGAUCCAGCCAUGCCGCGUGUGUGAAGAAGGCCUUAGGGUUGUAAAGCACUUUCAGUGGGGAGAAAGGUCAUUCACCUAAUACGUGAGUGAAUUGAUGUUACCCACAGAAGAAGCACCGGCUAACUCCGUGCCAGCCGCCGCGGUAA